UUUUAAUAUGAAAGAAUUCUAUCUUUUUUUUAUUUCGAUUGGAUAUACACAUCCUUCUAUUAUUAUUUUUUUAGGGUUGUUAACUCAAUGGUAGAGUACUCGGCUUUUAAGUGCGACUCCAUUUUUUACACAUUUCUAUGAACUAAUUGGUUCAUCCAUACCAUCGGUAGGGUUUGUAAGACCACGACUGAUCCAGAAAGGAAU
This 204-nucleotide long non-coding RNA is filed under the name Medicago truncatula (barrel medic). RNAcentral's name for it is "long non-coding RNA (MTRU_LNC007837)". Lineage: Eukaryota; Viridiplantae; Streptophyta; Magnoliopsida; Fabales; Fabaceae. The record is from RNAcentral.